RNAcentral lists this ribosomal RNA (256 nucleotides) under uncultured bacterium. RNAcentral's name for it is "partial 16S ribosomal RNA". It matches the Rfam family "Bacterial small subunit ribosomal RNA", at positions 793 to 1055 of the family's 1533-position model. The record is from RNAcentral.
GUCCACACUGUAAACGUUGAUGACUCGAUGUUGGCGAUACACAGCCAGCGUCCAAGAGCAAUCGUUAAGUCAUCCACCUGGGGAGUACGCCGGCAACGGUGAAACUCAAAGGAAUUGACGGGGUCGCACAAGCGGUGGAGCAUGUGGUUUAAUUCGAUGAUACGCGAGGAACCUUACCUGGGCUAGAAUGCCAUUGACUGGUACAGAGAUGUAUCGUUUCGCAAGAACAAGGAGCAAGGUGCUGCAUGGCUGUCGU